UGGGAAUCAAUCGAGUCAAUGGAAGUAUUUCGUAUAAUGCCUCAAGAACCACAUUUCCGGGUACUGGAGCAGCAGUACUGUAGGGAGUUCCGCGAAGGGAUAGCUAUAGGUUUGAUGGUGACCUUCGCCAACCUGGAGGCCGAUACAAGGAAGUUUGACACAUGUGAUUCACCAGAGGCUUUCGACGAAAGAUUGAAAGCUCUUAAACAGUUGGAGGAAAAUGGAUUUG
Molecule: unclassified non-coding RNA, 229 nt
Filed under: Hevea brasiliensis (rubber tree)
Lineage: Eukaryota; Viridiplantae; Streptophyta; Magnoliopsida; Malpighiales; Euphorbiaceae
Source: RNAcentral